UUUUUUUUUUUUACACGAAUUUGAGGAAAACCAAAUGAAUUUGAUAGCCAAAUUGAGACAAUUUCAGCAAAUCUGUAAGCAGUUUGUAUGUUUAGUUGGGGUAAUGAAGUAUUUCAGUUUUGUGAAUAGAUGACCUGUUUUUACUUCCUCACCCUGAAUUCGUUUUGUAAAUGUAGAGUUUGGAUGUGUAACUGAGGCGGGGGGGAGUUUUCAGUAUUUUUUUUUGUGGGGGUGGGGGCAAAAUAUGUUUUCAGUUCUUUUUCCCUUAGGUCUGUCUAGAAUCCUAAAGGCAAAUGACUCAAGGUGUAACAGAAAACAAGAAAAUCCAAUAUCAGGAUAAUCAGACCACCACAGGUUUACAGUUUAUAGAAACUAGAGCAGUUCUCACGUUGAGGUCUGUGGAAGAGAUGUCCAUUGGAGAAAUGGCUGGUAGUUACUCUUUUUUCCCCCCACCCCCUUAAUCAGACUUUAAAAGUGCUUAACCCCUUAAACUUGUUAUUUUUUACUUGAAGCAUUUUGGGAUGGUCUUAACAGGGAAGAGAGAGGGUGGGGGAGAAAAUGUUUUUUUCUAAGAUUUUCCACAGAUGCUAUAGUACUAUUGACAAACUGGGUUAGAGAAGGAGUGUACCGCUGUGCUGUUGGCACGAACACCUUCAGGGACUGGAGCUGCUUUUAUCCUUGGAAGAGUAUUCCCAGUUGAAGCUGAAAAGUACAGCACAGUGCAGCUUUGGUUCAUAUUCAGUCAUCUCAGGAGAACUUCAGAAGAGCUUGAGUAGGCCAAAUGUUGAAGUUAAGUUUUCCAAUAAUGUGACUUCUUAAAAGUUUUAUUAAAGGGGAGGGGCAAAUAUUGGCAAUUAGUUGGCAGUGGCCUGUUACGGUUGGGAUUGGUGGGGUGGGUUUAGGUAAUUGUUUAGUUUAUGAUUGCAGAUAAACUCAUGCCAGAGAACUUAAAGUCUUAGAAUGGAAAAAGUAAAGAAAUAUCAACUUCCAAGUUGGCAAGUAACUCCCAAUGAUUUAGUUUUUUUCCCCCCAGUUUGAAUUGGGAAGCUGGGGGAAGUUAAAUAUGAGCCACUGGGUGUACCAGUGCAUUAAUUUGGGCAAGGAAAGUGUCAUAAUUUGAUACUGUAUCUGUUUUCCUUCAAAGUAUAGAGCUUUUGGGGAAGGAAAGUAUUGAACUGGGGGUUGGUCUGGCCUACUGGGCUGACAUUAACUACAAUUAUGGGAAAUGCAAAAGUUGUUUGGAUAUGGUAGUGUGUGGUUCUCUUUUGGAAUUUUUUUCAGGUGAUUUAAUAAUAAUUUAAAACUACUAUAGAAACUGCAGAGCAAAGGAAGUGGCUUAAUGAUCCUGAAGGGAUUUCUUCUGAUGGUAGCUUUUGUAUUAUCAAACUUUUUUCAGAUAACAUCUUCUGAGUCAUAACCAGCCUGGCAGUAUGAUGGCCUAGAUGCAGAGAAAACAGCUCCUUGGUAUCUCUUCGUUAUCAGAAGAGUUGCUUCAUUUCAUCUGGGAGCAGAAAACAGCAGGCAGCUGUUAACAGAUAAGUUUAACUUGCAUCUGCAGUAUUGCAUGUUAGGGAUAAGUGCUUAUUUUUAAGAGCUGUGGAGUUCUUAAAUAUCAACCAUGGCACUUUCUCCUGACCCCUUCCCUAGGGGAUUUCAGGAUUGAGAAAUUUUUCCAUCGAGCCUUUUUAAAAUUGUAGGACUUGUUCCUGUGGGCUUCAGUGAUGGGAUAGUACACUUCACUCAGAGGCAUUUGCAUCUUUAAAUAAUUUCUUAAAAGCCUCUAAAGUGAUCAGUGCCUUGAUGCCAACUAAGGAAAUUUGUUUAGCAUUGAAUCUCUGAAGGCUCUAUGAAAGGAAUAGCAUGAUGUGCUGUUAGAAUCAGAUGUUACUGCUAAAAUUUACAUGUUGUGAUGUAAAUUGUGUAGAAAACCAUUAAAUCAUUCAAAAUAAUAAACUAUUUUUAUUAGAGAAUGUAUACUUUUAGAAAGCUGUCUCCUUAUUUAAAUAAAAUAGUGUUUGUCUGUAGUUCAGUGUUGGGGCAAUCUUGGGGGGGAUUCUUCUCUAAUCUUUCAGAAACUUUGUCUGCGAACACUCUUUAAUGGACCAGAUCAGGAUUUGAGCGGAAGAACGAAUGUAACUUUAAGGCAGGAAAGACAAAUUUUAUUCUUCAUAAAGUGAUGAGCAUAUAAUAAUUCCAGGCACAUGGCAAUAGAGGCCCUCUAAAUAAGGAAUAAAUAACCUCUUAGACAGGUGGGAGAUUAUGAUCAGAGUAAAAGGUAAUUACACAUUUUAUUUCCAGAAAGUCAGGGGUCUAUAAAUUGACAGUGAUUAGAGUAAUACUUUUUCACAUUUCCAAAGUUUGCAUGUUAACUUUAAAUGCUUACAAUCUUAGAGUGGUAGGCAAUGUUUUACACUAUUGACCUUAUAUAGGGAAGGGAGGGGGUGCCUGUGGGGUUUUAAAGAAUUUUCCUUUGCAGAGGCAUUUCAUCCUUCAUGAAGCCAUUCAGGAUUUUGAAUUGCAUAUGAGUGCUUGGCUCUUCCUUCUGUUCUAACUUCACAGAGAAUGCAGUUGUCUUGACUUCAGGUCUGUCUGUUCUGUUGGCAAGUAAAUGCAGUACUGUUCUGAUCCCGCUGCUAUUAGAAUGCAUUGUGAAACGACUGGAGUAUGAUUAAAAGUUGUGUUCCCCAAUGCUUGGAGUAGUGAUUGUUGAAGGAAAAAAUCCAGCUGAGUGAUAAAGGCUGAGUGUUGAGGAAAUUUCUGCAGUUUUAAGCAGUCGUAUUUGUGAUUGAAGCUGAGUACAUUUUGCUGGUGUAUUUUUAGGUAAAAUGCUUUUUGUUCAUUUCUGGUGGUGGGAGGGGACUGAAGCCUUUAGUCUUUUCCAGAUGCAACCUUAAAAUCAGUGACAAGAAACAUUCCAAACAAGCAACAGUCUUCAAGAAAUUAAACUGGCAAGUGGAAAUGUUUAAACAGUUCAGUGAUCUUUAGUGCAUUGUUUAUGUGUGGGUUUCUCUCUCCCCUCCCUUGGUCUUAAUUCUUACAUGCAGGAACACUCAGCAGACACACGUAUGCGAAGGGCCAGAGAAGCCAGACCCAGUAAGAAAAAA
RNAcentral lists this long non-coding RNA (3104 nucleotides) under Homo sapiens (human). RNAcentral's name for it is "metastasis associated lung adenocarcinoma transcript 1". Lineage: Eukaryota; Metazoa; Chordata; Mammalia; Primates; Hominidae. The record is from RNAcentral.